GACGAACGCUGGCGGCGUGCUUAACACAUGCGAGUCGAACGGAAAGGCCCUGCUUGCAGGGUACUCGAGUGGCGAACGGGUGAGUAACACGUGGGUGAUCUGCCCUGCACUUCGGGAUAAGCCUGGGAAACUGGGUCUAAUACCGGAUAGGAGCCAUUUUUAGUGUGAUGGUUGGAAAGUUUUUUCGGUGUAGGAUGAGCUCGCGGCCUAUCAGCUUGGUGGUGGGGUAAUGGCCUACCAAGGCGGCGACGGGUAGCCGGCCUGAGAGGGUGGUCGGCCACACUGGAACUGAGACACGGGCCAGACUCCUGGGGGAGGCAGCAGUAGGGAAUCUUCCGCAAUGGGCGAAAGGCGGACGGAGCAACGCCGCGGGAGUGAUGAAGGUCUUCGGAUCGUAAAACUCUGUUAGUAGGGAAGAAUAUAUGUGUAAGGAACUGUGCACAUCUUGGCGGUACCUAAGCAGAAAGCCACGGCUAACUACGUG
RNAcentral lists this ribosomal RNA (484 nucleotides) under uncultured bacterium. Its description in RNAcentral is "partial 16S ribosomal RNA". It matches the Rfam family "Bacterial small subunit ribosomal RNA", at positions 28 to 507 of the family's 1533-position model. The record is from RNAcentral.